RNAcentral lists this ribosomal RNA (301 nucleotides) under uncultured bacterium. RNAcentral's name for it is "partial 16S ribosomal RNA". It matches the Rfam family "Bacterial small subunit ribosomal RNA", at positions 509 to 807 of the family's 1533-position model. The record is from RNAcentral.
CAGCCGCCACGGGAAAACAGAGGGUGCAAGCGUUAAUCGGAAUUACUGGGCGUAAAGCGCGCGUAGGUGGUUUGUUAAGUUGGAUGUGAAAUCCCCGGGCUCAACCUGGGAACUGCAUCCAAAACUGGCAAGCUAGAGUAUGGUAGAGGGUGGUGGAAUUUCCUGUGUAGCGGUGAAAUGCGUAGAUAUAGGAAGGAACACCAGUGGCGAAGGCGACCACCUGGACUGAUACUGACACUGAGGUGCGAAAGCGUGGGGAGCAAACAGGAUUAGAUACCCCUGUAGUCCCUGUCUCUUAUAC